GCGAGGGUGGCAGAGCGGUCUAAUGCGGCGGAUUGCUAAUCCGUUUCCUGAAAGGGAACACGAGUUCAAAUCUCGUCCCUCGCG
This 84-nucleotide transfer RNA is filed under the name Candidatus Iainarchaeum sp. RNAcentral's name for it is "tRNA-Ser". It matches the Rfam family "tRNA". From Rfam's summary of the family: Transfer RNA (tRNA) molecules are approximately 80 nucleotides in length. Their secondary structure includes four short double-helical elements and three loops (D, anti-codon, and T loops). The record is from RNAcentral. Lineage: Archaea; Nanobdellati; Candidatus Iainarchaeota; Candidatus Iainarchaeia; Candidatus Iainarchaeales; Candidatus Iainarchaeaceae.